Molecule: ribosomal RNA, 251 nt
Filed under: uncultured bacterium
Lineage: Bacteria
Description: partial 16S ribosomal RNA
Rfam family: Bacterial small subunit ribosomal RNA
Source: RNAcentral
AGUGGCGGACGGGUGAGUAACACGUAGGUAAUCUACCUUGCGGCGGGGAACAACACUUGGAAACGAGUGCUAAUACCGCAUACGUAGUUUCUUCAUAAGAAGAAACUAGAAAGAGGGCUUCGGCUCUCACCGCUUGAUGAGCCUGCGUCCCAUUAGCUAGUUGGUAGGGUAAUGGCCUACCAAGGCGACGAUGGGUAGCUGGUCUGAGAGGAUGAUCAGCCACACUGGAACUGACACACGGUCCAGACUCC